This 490-nucleotide ribosomal RNA is filed under the name uncultured bacterium. RNAcentral describes it as "partial 16S ribosomal RNA". It matches the Rfam family "Bacterial small subunit ribosomal RNA", at positions 28 to 507 of the family's 1533-position model. The record is from RNAcentral.
GAUGAACGCUAGCGAUAGGCUUAACACAUGCAAGUCGAGGGGCAGCAUGGUCUUAGCUUGCUAAGGCUGAUGGCGACCGGCGCACGGGUGCGUAACGCGUAUGCAACUUGCCUCACAGAGGGGGAUAACCCGUCGAAAGACGGACUAAUACCGCGUACACUCUAUGUUGGGCAUCCAAUGUAGAGGAAAUGAAAUUCGCUGUGAGAUAGGCAUGCGUCCCAUUAGCUAGUUGGUGAGGUAACGGCUCACCAAGGCGACGAUGGGUAGGGGAACUGAGAGGUUGAACCCCCACACUGGUACUGAGACACGGACCAGACUCCUACGGGAGGCAGCAGUGAGGAAUAUUGGUCAAUGGGCGAGAGCCUGAACCAGCCAAGUCGCGUGAAGGAUGACUGUCUUAUGGAUUGUAAACUUCUUUUAUACGGGAAUAACAAGAGUCACGUGUGGCUCCCUGCAUGUUCCGUAUGAAUAAGCAUCGGCUAACUCCGUG